This is an RNA transcript of Piliocolobus tephrosceles (Ugandan red Colobus), 1547 nucleotides long. It is a transcript of the gene named cysteine rich protein 2, with no coding region annotated. The record is from RefSeq and is a predicted model, not a curated record. The transcript has 7 exons. NCBI's taxonomy places the organism in Eukaryota, Metazoa, Chordata, Mammalia, Primates, Cercopithecidae.
GAGGGGCGCGGGGACGCCAGACCUGGCCCGGCUGCCCCGCACCCGCCACCCCUGGCAGGUGCGCCCCGCCUCCGCGGCGCCCCUAGGCGGCCCCCGGCCCGGGGGGCGGGUUAUCGAGGCCCCGCCCCAUCCGCGGAGCCAAUGGGGGCGCGGACAGCCGGGCAGGCGGGGCUGGGCGCGGGCGGCUGCGGCCGGGAGGAGAACGGGCGGAGGGCGCGGGCCGACCGGGCGCACCGACCAUGGCCUCCAAAUGCCCCAAGUGCGACAAGACCGUGUACUUCGCCGAGAAGGUGAGCUCCCUGGGUAAGGACUGGCACAAGUUCUGCCUCAAGUGCGAGCGCUGCAGCAAGACGCUGACGCCCGGGGGCCACGCCGAGCAUGACGGGAAGCCGUUCUGCCACAAGCCGUGCUACGCCACCCUGUUCGGACCCAAAGGCGUGAACAUCGGGGGCGCGGGCUCCUACAUCUACGAGAAGCCCCUGGCGGAGGGGCCGCAGGUCACCGGCCCCAUCGAGGUCCCCGCGGCCCGAGCGGAGGAGCGGAAGGCGAGCGGCCCCCCGAAGGGGCCCAGCAGAGCCUCCAGUGUCACUACUUUCACCGGGGAGCCCAACACGUGCCCGCGCUGCAGCAAGAAGGUGUACUUCGCUGAGAAGGUGACGUCUCUGGGCAAGGAUUGGCACCGGCCCUGCCUGCGCUGCGAGCGCUGCGGGAAGACACUGACCCCCGGUGGGCACGCAGAGGUGAGGGGAGCGCGACGGGGCUUGGGGGCCGGGCAGGGGCACGGGGGGGGGGGGGGGGGGAAGAGGGGGGGGGGGGCGCCAGGAAGGGAUGGGGGGGGGGAGGUGCUUCUGGGAACUGCGCUGUCCCUGGAAGCCUCCAGGUGAUGGGUCGGGGGAGUCUGUGGACCCCUUCCUCAGCACCCCACCUUCUGCCUCAGCACGAUGGCCAGCCCUACUGCCACAAGCCCUGCUAUGGAAUCCUCUUCGGACCCAAGGGAGUGAACACCGGCGCGGUGGGCAGCUACAUCUAUGACCGGGACCCCGAGGGCAAGGUCCAACCCUAGGCCGCAGCGGCUCUCAUGACGUGGGCCCCCCUGCUUGGCUCUGCUGGAAGAGUGCCCAGCCACCCAGUCCUGCCUGCAAGCCCAGGGCGAGUAUUGGAGGAGGGGCAGCCACGGGCAGAGCGCCAUGCCCAUCCCUGAGUCUGUGGUGUGUCUGCCCCCUCUGGCGUCCUCUGGGCGUCCCAUGACCCCUUCUGUGUCUGUGCCUCCGAAUCCCCGUGUGACCCUGUUCCAGCACUUUCCCGCCAGCCCUGCGUGUCCCUGCGCACUGUCCGCCCUCCUUCCCUCUCCUGCUGCCCACCCACCUGCCAGUGUUAUUUAUGUUCCCUUUGUGGCUGACGGCCACGCCCUCACCGUGUCCCUGGCUGAGGGCUUCCCUCUGGGAUCCCCUGCCUGGUGCCCACACUGCCUCACAAGCCCUCGCCCCCCUCACGUGGCUCACCUGCUGCUGAGCCUUGUGCUGUCAAUAAACGGUUUGAGGAUUGCA